RNAcentral lists this long non-coding RNA (881 nucleotides) under Equus caballus (horse). RNAcentral's name for it is "lncRNA (ENSECAG00000043795.2)". The record is from RNAcentral. Lineage: Eukaryota; Metazoa; Chordata; Mammalia; Perissodactyla; Equidae.
AUUUUGGGGUUCUAAUACUUCCAGAAAAUACUUUAUCUUAGGAAUACAGCCUCUGCAAUUAACAUCUUCCAGCUUGCUGCUUCAUAUUGGAAGGAUACACUUGCCAGCAUCUCUACCACACUCCAAACAAGGAGAAGGUUCCUUUGUAUCAAGAAAGCAGAAGCUUUCCAAGGAAGCUCACCCAGCAGACUUCCACUUACAUCUCUCUCCACUCCCAUGAGGCCACCCUUGGACAGGUUACUAGAGAGAAGAGGAUUGUGGGCUGCUACUUUGGAAGAAAAAACAAGAAUGAAUUAUGAGGAAAAUGAAAUAUAGAGAAAACCUCCAAGCUGGCUUAUUCCUUUUUCAGUAAGAUGAGUUCACUGAUCACAUGCUUAGAUGUCAUGGCAAUGUCAAAUUGCUCUCAAUUCUAAAUGCUUACUUUCAAUUUCUGUACUUAUUUUGUCAUAAACCAUGGUUUUAGUAGCACUAUACUAUUUAAACAUAAACUAAAACAAACAGAACAAAGCAAGCAAACAAAAAAUAACCUGCAGCACCUAGAAAGACAUGUAUUAGAACAGGAAGUACACCUGCUGAGUUUGUUCUUGUACUUGGUCCUUGGCUCUGUUUGCAUUUAUAUGUAGUAGUAGUAGUCACUAUUUUCUGGAUUUUAAUUGAUAGAAACAUAAACUAAACUGGCUUCAGUUGGAAAUGUAUUAGUUUACAUGAAUCCUGGGAAGAAAAGAGUUAUAACUGAUUUCAGAGAUUCUUGGGACCUGACAACAUGCUUAUUACAUAACCUCCACUUUCUUUUUCUCAUCUUUCCUAAACAAGCCUCAGAGUUUAUUAGGGGAGGGGAAGCAGGUGUAAGAACGAGAGCCUGACAAUUAGGUCUUGCCCUG